RNAcentral lists this ribosomal RNA (506 nucleotides) under uncultured bacterium. Its description in RNAcentral is "partial 16S ribosomal RNA". It matches the Rfam family "Bacterial small subunit ribosomal RNA", at positions 28 to 523 of the family's 1533-position model. The record is from RNAcentral.
GAUGAACGCUAGCUACAGGCUUAACACAUGCAAGUCGAGGGGUAACAAGAGAAAAGCUUGCUUUUCUUGUUGACGACCGGCGCACGGGUGAGUAACGCGUAUCCAACCUGCCUAUAACUAGGGAAUAACCUUGCGAAAGUAAGACUAAUACCCUAUGAUUUCCUUUGAUGACAUCAGAUUAGGAAUAAAGAUUUAUCGGUUAUAGAUGGGGAUGCGUCUGAUUAGCUUGUUGGCGGGGUAACGGCCCACCAAGGCAACGAUCAGUAGGGGUUCUGGGAGGAAGGUCCCCCACAUUGGAACUGAGACACGGUCCAAACUCCUACGGGAGGCGGCAGUGAGGAAUAUUGGUCAAUGGGCGGAAGCCUGAACCAGCCAAGUAGCGUGCAGGAUGACGGCCCUAUGGGUUGUAAACUGCUUUUAUACAGGGAUAAAGUUAGCCACGUGUGGUUAUUUGUAGGUACUGUAUGAAUAAGGACCGGCUAAUUCCGUGCCAGCCGCCGCCGUAA